GUGGUGCAUGGGGAGGCCCCGCCCUACCAGGCACGGAGGAGCCCCAGCAGCAUCUACAGGCCAAACCCAUAGUACGUCAGACGGAGCGGCGAGGGCCACCUCGCAGCCCUGCACAGCCUGCAGACCCAGGGCAUGGGCUUCUCACAACUACAGAAAACAACUCAACUCCUCUGGGAGAGUCAAAAAAAAGAGGAGGAGAAAGUAGAGAGUAAGUCCCCUCCCCACCAGGCUGCACAUGGCUGUGCCCCCGCCUGGUCCUCACCGGCCCGACCCCCUCGGCCCUGGCAGAUGGGGUUGGGGAGCUGACAGCUGGCCUGGCGGGGCUCCCCACCCCAGCCAGGUGGGGACAAGGGAGGCCUGUUGCCGUCAUUGACGUAUUUCAAAAGCAGGUUUCACUCUGAGUACUGACGCUGAGUUCCCGUUCCUCUGGGUCUUUGGGAAGCUACUCCGGGGCUUGGCUGGAUUGAAACAUAAAGAACAGAAAGUGUCCAAAAUGGAGUUUCCUAGAACUUCGGGAAAAUGGAGCAGGGGUUGUCAGCAGCGCCCUGGCCUUAUCUCUGAAGUGUGCACGGGAGCUGGCGGGCCUCUGGGAGGCCAGCCCCAUGGACUCCCCCCUCUCCUCACUGUCUUCCUCUCCGGCCAGCACGCUCAUCAUCCAGGGCCCCAGCCCCAUUUUGGAGAGCACCCCCUCAGUGUGGGAGCUUGCAGGGCAGUGUGGGAGGAAAUAGGCCCCGGGGCUCGGGGAUGCAGGGCAGGGAGGCUGCAGAGGACCCUGGGGAGCACCCAUCACUCCUGGCAGAAUUUAUCCAGGCAGGUCUGUUCCCAGAAGUCCCCAGUCUCAGGCCGUAAGGACUCAACUCUGAGCCAUCUGGGAUCCCAGGAAAGGGAAUGGGAGCCUGGCACCUGUGAGUACACCCCGAGGAGUGGGGCUCCAAGAGUGCUGGGGUCUCGGGGAGGCUGCAUGGGGUCACCCUCCUCUCCUGGGGACACCCCCUCCAGGCAUUGACCCCUGGAAACAAGGAGUGGGAGAGGGCGGCCCUGCAGCGUCGCGGCCCUGCCAGGGAAUGUGCUCACCCUGGCGCCCUGGUCGGGGACCCUGGGCAGGUGUGUGGGCCGCCACCCAGUGUGUGCUCCUGGCCCCGGCCACCCACCUGGAGCUCCAGGUGGCCCCAACUGGCCAGAGCUGUUGCGAGGUACUGGUCCCACCUGCUCACAGCACCUGCAGCAGAAUUUUAUCUGCCCCUGCAGGUGUCUGGAGCAGUCCUGGACUGCGCUGGGUAUGGAAGAGGCUGCCGCCCACCAACAGGUUCCCUUAGGGCAACAGCUGAGGUCAUGGCAGGAGCAACCCUUGUCACUGGCACACGACGGGGGGCAGCUGGUGCCACUCUGGGGUCCGUGGGUGGAGAGGGUGGGGUGGGAUGGAGGGACGGCUGUGUGGGUGGCCAGAGGACACACAGAGGACACGCAUGUGGGGCGCGUGGGGGUGGAGGGGUGGGUGGGGGGGAAGGGCGGGGGCUGGGGGUGGGGAAAGUGAUCUCUGGGAUACUGGACAGAUGGGGCAGAAGAAAACGUGAUGAGAGAGAAGAACCAGUCACUGGGGGCCGGGUGGCGCCGGCACGAGGACGGAGGGGCCGGCAUGCACAUGGCUGGGAUGGAUGGGGAUCGAUGCUGGAGUCAGGCUUUGGUGUCAGCUUGAGGAUCUAUUUGGAAAAACUGGCAAACAGAAGCCCUUUAGGCCCAUCUUGAUCCCUGUCACUGUGUCGUUUGGGUGAACCCCCCAUCCCCGCCGGCUCUCCCGCCAGCCCCCCAUCACUGAACCUCUCGGGCCUCUGUGGCCUGUCCCCACCUGGCUGGGCCUCGUGGGCCCUCCUGGGAGGCUGGCCCCUCCAGUCCUGCAGCCUCAGCCCUGGCCAGGUCCUGGGGCGGCCCUGGCAGGCAGAGGGGCUUGCGGGUGUUCAGCAGGCCCCUCCCAACACCCACUCCUUGAGCACCGUGGGAGACGCUGGUCUCUGCCUUGUUCAGGUCAGAGGACUGGACUGGAAGGAGCCGUCCGGGUGCACAGCCAUAGCACAGAGCCGGGCUCUGCUGGGGACUGGGAGGCCCUCUCAGAGGAAGGCUUCCUGGGUCCGAGGCUGGCCGGGACAAGGAGCAGUGAGGAGGAGUGGCAAAGGCUGAGGGGCGUGCAUCACGAGCCUCUUUCCAAAGAGGUCAUGUUGGUUCUGCUAACCCAUCAGGCCAUCGUCCGGCCGGGCCUUGGGCUCCCUCACGGCUGUCCUGUCCUGGCUGUGAUCUCAGGAUGGGAGAUGCAGCUGCCGUUUGGUUUGGGGUUUGAGGAAAAGGCUCUGAAGAGCGUUUGGCUUGCCAUGGUCCUGUCUUGACAGUGGCUGGCGGGAGGACAGCUUGGCAGGCUGCGCCUCUAGCCAGUGAUCUGUGAGCUUGUGGAGGUGGCAGCCGGGAAGGGGUAGAGACAGGGUGACUCUCCCCAGUCCAGGUGUGGCCCCUGCCCAGACCCCCCUCUGCCUGGGGGAAGAGAAGCAGAUGCCUGCAGGUGUAGACUGCAGGUCGGAACCAUGGGGAUGGGUACUCAUGGCCACCAAGGGGACCACCCCUAACACAAGAAUGCCGCCUGUCCCCGUCCCCUCCCCAGAGCUAUGGGUUCCACCUGGUUUGCUGUCAGGUCUUUGACCACCAGGGCCUGGGCAUAUGAGCUACAGAAAGACGGGCCUCUGAAGCAUCGGAGGGGGCCCCAGAGCCUUCCUGGGCAGGAGCUGCCUUGCUUCACGUGACUCGGCCAACACCCGCCCAGGGUUCCCUGACACAUUGCACCCAGGACAUCCCCUUCUUCUGUCUCCGGGCCUCAGUUUUCCCAGCUGUCCUGAUUCCUUGUGGCCCUCGGCCACAGGGCUCCAUCUGCCUGGUCUCUGGCCAGGUCCUCAUGCCAGUUUUGCACUCGUGCUGAGGGUGGCUUGGUGCAUGGUGGGGGGCUACGCAGGGCAGAUGGCAUUCAUCUUUGGCUCGAGGGCUGACCCCUUCCCAAGAUCUGAGGUGACAGGGCCUGUCUCACCCUCAGCCUUGUGGUCUGGCCCCUGGAGGCUGCUGGCCAGAUCGAUGCAGCCAGCUGGUGCACAUGCCACUGUCCCUGGUACACCUGUGUGUACCCAAAGAAGGAUCCAGGGAGGGGAGGGAAAAAGAGGAGGCUUUUGCCCACAAAGUAAACUCGUGUCUCCUCCACGCUCCCCACCACAGUCCUGACCCCAGGGACCUGAGUAACCAGGGAAGCUGCCCAUGGGUCCACUUGCCCUGGGGCUCGGUGCUCUAGAGACCACCGGUUCACCUGCACAGCCUUGGAGGGCCUGACUCAAUUUACCCCACAGCACUGUACCCAUUUCCUGUCCCCUAGAGCCUUUGAUCACCACAGCCAACUGCCCUGCCCACCUGGAAGGGCACUGGAGUGUGGGUGGGGACAAGAUGGAGCCCCAGUGGGGGAGAGAGAUGAGAAGAGUCCCAGGACGUCUACCUCCGAGGGAGGCAAGUCCCCUUCGUGGGCACGGGCGUGUCCGCUGCUGCCGCUGUGUGGGUUCGGAGCUGGAGAACCGCAGCCCUGGAAGGAGGAGAGGCGCGCUUCUGCCACUUAACCGAGAGCCCAAAUCCCAGACCGGUCCUUGCUUCUCUGAAACCCACAAAAGCAAACCUUGGGGAGCUUGCUGGGCCUGUCACUGAGGAAUGGAGGUGGUGCCGGGGCCAGGGCAAUGUCUGGAGGACAGACUCGAUCUAUCUUGACUUUCAGAACGAGGUUUCUGUUGUCAGACUUGGUUCCAGACGGUACCUGACCGGUGGUGACCCGACAGGAUCCAUCCUUAUGAUGCUCAAAGAAUGAAUUUUUACCACCGUGAAAGAACCACCAGCAGGCAAACCGCUCCUCCCCUCGGGGCCACUGUUCGGAUUUCUUUGAAAAUCUGUUUCCUACACUUCGCAAAC
RNAcentral lists this long non-coding RNA (3978 nucleotides) under Homo sapiens (human). Its description in RNAcentral is "non-protein coding lnc-TRAPPC2L-3:1". Lineage: Eukaryota; Metazoa; Chordata; Mammalia; Primates; Hominidae. The record is from RNAcentral.